CCAAUAGCGUAUAUUAAAGUUGUUGCAGUUAAAAAGCUCGUAGUUGAAUUUCGGGAUCAAUACGUCGGUCGUGCUUCGGUACGUACUGGCGUCAUUGAUUUCUCCCUUCUGACGAACCAUGAUGUCAUUAGCUUGGUGUCAUGGGAAAUCAGGACUGUUACUUUGAAAAAAUUAGAGUGUUUAAAGCAGGCUCACGCUUGAAUACAUUAGCAUGGAAUAAUGAAAUAGGACGUUCGAUCCUAUUUUGUUGGUUUUAGGAUCAACGUAAUGAUUAAUAGGGAUAGUUGGGGGCAUUAGUAUUCAAUUGUCAGAGGUGAAAUUCUUGGAUUUAUUGAAGACUAACUACUGCGAAAGCAUUUGCCAAGGAUGUUUUCAUUAAUCAAGAACGAAAGUUAGGGGAUCGAAGACGAUCAGAUACCGUCGUAGUCUUAACCAUAAACUAUGCCGACUAGGGAUCGGAUGAUGUUAAUUUUUUAAUGACUCAUUCGGCGCCUUACG
Molecule: ribosomal RNA, 498 nt
Filed under: uncultured Glomeromycotina
Lineage: Eukaryota; Fungi; Glomeromycota
Description: partial small subunit ribosomal RNA
Rfam family: Eukaryotic small subunit ribosomal RNA
Source: RNAcentral